Heterocephalus glaber (naked mole-rat) is the source of this 1067-nucleotide non-coding RNA. The record is from RefSeq and is a predicted model, not a curated record. Lineage: Eukaryota; Metazoa; Chordata; Mammalia; Rodentia; Bathyergidae.
UUAAUUUUAUUACAUUGUUCCAUUUUGACGCUAGAGAUGGAACCCAGGGCCUCAUGCUGCUAAAUAUGCUCUCUGCCACCAGCUACGCCCCCAGCCCCUGAGACUCUAGGAGAAAACUUCAGCCUUCGUGCAUUGUCACUAAACAGUCACCGACAGCUUGUAUUUUCUUAGCUCUGUGCUAAAUUACGGGGGUGCAAAGAGAUUCUACCUUCAAAAGAGCAACACACAGACACAACAUCGCUCCAAAUGCUGGGUGUGACGGGCCUGUGCUCCGCCCUGUCAGCCCAGAGCACGGGCCUGUGCCAGUGAGGAAAUCUUCCCGAAGAGGAGCGACUGAGUUCACGGCAGAUUCCGCACUGGAGACUGAAAGCACAGCAUCACCCCUUUCCAACAAUCUACUGGGGGUCCUAGCUCAUGCAAUAAUAUGAGAAAAGAGACAAAAGGCAUUGGGCAAGAAGAAAUAUGGCUGUUUUAUACAUGAAUAACAUGAUGAUAUGGAACAUUUGAAAGAAUAAACGUACGACAAUAAUAAAAAUCCUCCUUAACUAAUUACGAACUACAGCAAGGAUGCAGAACACAAGGCAAAUAUACAAAAGAUCAUUGCAGCCCAGCUCCUAAUAGACCGUGGACCUGGGGCUGGGGACCCCUGGACUGAGGCAGUCACCUGGACUUCACUGCCAGAUUCUCUGCAGACUGGGAUUAGGCUAGUUACUCCCCUGGGAAGGAGGGUGAUAGCUAACCCGAUUCCAUCGUAUGCCUCAACGCCAUUUUGGACCUGUGCUUGAACAAAGUUCUUGCAGAUGAACAAAGCACCCCCAACCCCCCACAUCCUGCUGCACUUGCAGGAUGUUUUGUAGCUCCCCUAGUGUGUGUGAAAUUUCCUUGUGCCCCCCACUAACCUGGCAUGGUUCUGCUUCUGUAAGAGUCCGCUUACUCUUCCCUGAGCCCUCCCCAACUGAAAGCAGGAUUUAAAAGGAGACGUCAAACUGCUUCCCAUUGCCAAUAAACCUUUCUGGGCGCCAGCCCCCCUCAGCUGCCGGCUAUAAUAAAUGGGCUCGCAUCUGUCA